RNAcentral lists this unclassified non-coding RNA (430 nucleotides) under Hevea brasiliensis (rubber tree). Lineage: Eukaryota; Viridiplantae; Streptophyta; Magnoliopsida; Malpighiales; Euphorbiaceae. The record is from RNAcentral.
GAGAAGCAGAUCUUACUCUGUUUUUGAGUUUUUUCAUUGAUUCCUGUGCAAGAGAAGCAGAUUUUACUCUGUUUUUGAGUUUUUUCUGUUGUUAUUAUUAUUAUUGGUUGAGUAUAUUUCUGUGCAGCUCAUUGUCAUCUUUCUGGGUGGAUAUAAAAUUUCAAUCCGAUCUUGGUUUGAAGACAGUUUUAAUGUUAAUAACCUAACAAUUUUUUUUAACUCAGCCCAGAAUUCCAAACCAAACAAACUGUUCUGUCAUCUAACCCAUGUUUUCGUGUGUUUGGAUGCUUAAAUGAGUGCUUUGUUGUCGUAAUCCAUGUUGGGGGUUCACCUUUAAGUAUCUAAUUUCAGCUGCAAUCACUAUUUCAGCAACAGAAUUUGUCAGAAAGAGAAGACAACGUGAUGCAAUUUGAGAUAUGUUUUUCACAGU